GAUGAAGAACGUAGCGAAAUGCGAUAAGUAGUGUGAAUUGCAGAAUUCAGUGAAUCAUCGAAUCUUUGAACGCACAUUGCGCCCUUUGGUAUUCCAAAGGGCAUGCCUGUUCGAGCGCCAUUUGUACCCUCAAGCUUUGCUUGGUGUUGGGCGUCUUGUCUCUAGCUUUGCUGGAGACUCGCCUUAAAGUAAUUGGCAGCCGGCCUACUGGUUUCGGAGCGCAGCACAAGUCGCACUCUCUAUCAGCAAAGGUCUAGCAUCCAUUAAGCCUUUUUUUCAACUUUUGACCUCGGAUCAGGUAGGGAUACCCGCUGAACUUAAGCAUAUCAAUAAGCGGAGGA
This 341-nucleotide unclassified non-coding RNA is filed under the name soil metagenome. RNAcentral's name for it is "partial contains 5.8S ribosomal RNA, internal transcribed spacer 2, and large subunit ribosomal RNA". The stretch from base 1 to 120 matches the Rfam family "5.8S ribosomal RNA", at positions 35 to 154 of the family's 154-position model. The record is from RNAcentral.